CCUACGGGCGGCAGCAGUGAGGAAUAUUGGUCAAUGGGCGCGAGCCUGAACCAGCCAAGUAGCGUGAAGGAUGACUGCCCUACGGGUUGUAACCUUCUUUUAUAAAGGAAUAAAGUGAGGCACGUGUGCCUUUUUGUAUGUACUUUAUGAAUAAGGCUCGGCUAACUCCGUGCCAGCAGCCGCGUUAAUCCGGAGGAUCCGAGCGUUAUCCGGAUUUAUUGGGUUUAAAGGGAGAGUAGAUGGGUUGUUAAGUCAGUUGUGAAAGUUUGCGGCGCAACCGUAAAAUUGCAAUUGAUACUGGCAGUCGUGAGUACAGUUGAGGUAGGCGGAAUGCGUGGUGUAGCGGUGAAAUGCUUAGAUAUCACGAAGAACUCCGAUUGCGAAGGCAGCUUACUAACCUGCCACUGACAGUGAUGCUCGAAAGUGUGGGUAUCAAACAGGAUUAGAGACCCCUGUAGUC
This 460-nucleotide ribosomal RNA is filed under the name uncultured bacterium. Its description in RNAcentral is "partial 16S ribosomal RNA". It matches the Rfam family "Bacterial small subunit ribosomal RNA", at positions 338 to 795 of the family's 1533-position model. The record is from RNAcentral.